CUACGGGAGGCAGCAGUGGGGAAUAUUGGACAAUGGGGGAAACCCUGAUCCAGCAAUGCCGCGUGUGUGAAGAAGGCCUGCGGGUUGUAAAGCACUUUCGGUUGGGAGGACUGCUUCUAGCACUAAUAUUGUUGGAAGUUGACGUUACCUUCAGAAGAAGCACCGGCUAACUCCGUGCCAGCAGCCGCGGUAAUACGGAGGGUGCAAGCGUUAAUCGGAAUUACUGGGCGUAAAGCGCGCGUAGGCGGCUAGAUCAGUCGGGUGUGAAAGCCCCGGGCUUAACCUGGGAACUGCAUCCGAUACUGUCUAGCUCGAGUACAGGAGAGGAGAGUGGAAUUCCACAUGUAGCGGUGAAACACGUAGAUAUGUGGAGGAACACCAAUGGCGAAGGCAGCUCUCUGGCCUGAUACUGACGCUGAGGUGCGAAAGCGUGGGGAGCAAACAAGAUUAGAUACCCUAGUAGUC
Molecule: ribosomal RNA, 465 nt
Filed under: uncultured bacterium
Lineage: Bacteria
Description: partial 16S ribosomal RNA
Rfam family: Bacterial small subunit ribosomal RNA
Source: RNAcentral